CAAUAAGCGGAGGAAAAGAAACCUAACUAGGAUUCCCCUUAGUAACGGCGAGUGAAACGGGAAGAGCUCAGAUUUGUAAUCUGGCCGUCCUCGAGGCGGACCCGAGUUGUAAUCUGCAGAGGCGUAUUCCGUGCCGGUCCCUGUCCAAGUCCGUUGGAAUUCGGCGCCAUUGAGGGUGAGAGCCCCGUUGGUGACGGGGGUAGCCGGUGCAUUGCGUUGCGCUCUCUAAGAGUCGUGUUGUUUGGGAAUGCAGCACUAAAGGGUGGUAAAUUCCAUCUAAAGCUAAAUAUCAGCGAGAGACCGAUAGCGAACAAGUACCGUGAGGGAAAGAUGAAAAGCACUUUGGAAAGAGAGUCAAACAGUACGUGAAAUUGUUGAAAGGGAAACGAUUGAAGUCAGUCAUGCCCACUGGGGAUUCAGCCUUCGGGUGUACUUCCUCGGGGGCAGGUCAGCGUCGGUUUCGGGGGUCGGAUAAUGGACUAGGGAACGUGGCCCGGCUUCGGCUGGGUGUUAUAGCCCUUUUCUGGAUACGGCUUUUGGGAUCGGGGACCGCGGCGUGCCCUUAUGGGGCAGGGGGUUCGCCCCCUCCCGCGCCAAGGAUGUUGGCAUAAUGGCUUUAAACGACCCGUCUUGAAACACGGACCAAGGAGUCUAACGUGCGUGCGAGUGUUCGGGUGUGGAAACCCGGGCGCGGAGCGAAAGCGAAUGCAGGCGGGAUCCGAAAGGUGCACCGUCGACCGGCCCUGAGCUUCUGCGAAGGGACCGAGUGAGAGCGCGUAUGUUGGGACCCGAAAGAUGGUGAACUAUGCUCGAAUAGGGUGAAGCCAGGGGAAACCCUGGUGGAAGCUCGUAGCGGUUCUGACGUGCAAAUCGAUCGUCGAAUUUGGGUAUAGGGGGCGAAAGACUAAUCGAACCAUCUAGUAGCUGGUU
This 930-nucleotide ribosomal RNA is filed under the name Saccosoma sphaerosporum. RNAcentral's name for it is "partial large subunit ribosomal RNA". It matches the Rfam family "Eukaryotic large subunit ribosomal RNA", at positions 44 to 956 of the family's 3401-position model. The record is from RNAcentral. Lineage: Eukaryota; Fungi; Basidiomycota; Atractiellomycetes; Atractiellales; Phleogenaceae.